RNAcentral lists this long non-coding RNA (645 nucleotides) under Homo sapiens (human). RNAcentral's name for it is "long non-coding RNA NONHSAT217059.1". Lineage: Eukaryota; Metazoa; Chordata; Mammalia; Primates; Hominidae. The record is from RNAcentral.
GGAAGACGUUACUUAAGGCUGCUUUCCAAAGCAGUGAAAAAAUCUGUGAGACCUGAAACCCCACGGGCCUACGAUGAAAUACCUGGAAGCAAUCUGGCGAGUCAGAACAGCUGUGCUGAUGGCUGGGACUCUCUCAGGACAGCUUGGAAGGCCCGACCUGGCAGCUCUCUGGGCCCACCGGAGCUCUCCUGCCUUGUCUUGUACCUGCCUCUCUGUGCUCCAGCCACACUGCCAUCUCUCCGUUUCUCAAAUGCUACGUAAAGCCGCAUUCUCUUCCCACAGAUAGAAAAUGCUGUGCUCGCCCUUGAAAAGCCUCUCUCUCCAAUGAAUUCCCACUCAUUCCUCAAUUUUCAGUUGAAGCAUCAUUCAUUCCUUUGGGAAACCUUUUCUAGCCCCUAACACCCUGCAUUGGUCCUAACAUACCUUGGCAUGACUGCUGUAGCUCUGUAUCUGCGUGGGUACUGACGGAUGUGACUCCAGGAGGGAGGGUGUGCAGCCUGUGGCUCACCACGGUAUCCCCAGCACCUGUCUCUCUGCUUGCCUAUUAACUUCCUAAAUUAGUGCAUUUUCCCCUGUCAUUUAAAAAAAAACUUUAAUUUUUUCAUUUGUAUAUAUCGACAGAGCACAAGUACAGAUUUCUUGCAU